GGGCAAUGUAGUAAUCCUUGAUACAUGUAAAUAUAUAGGGAUGGUGGAACGUACCCUGAGUGAUGAACAGACAUAUAGGAUCCUGAAAUUUGACCCUACCAAUGACUAUCUGGGAAAAUAUAAGGAAAUUUUGGACGAAGGCCGCAGUGGAGGGUUGCUACCGGGUGACGAGUAUGAAUUUGUUCUUAAUCGUCAGCCCAAGAUAGCAACCUUCUACUGCCUGCCGAAAAUCCAUAAAAAUUUACAGGACCCUCCAGGGCGACCUAUAGUCUCUGGGAUUGAUAAUCUUACGCAGAAUGGUAGCCUGUACGUGGAUAAAAU
Pelobates cultripes (western spadefoot toad) is the source of this 321-nucleotide non-coding RNA. The record is from the annotation of a GenBank genome assembly. NCBI's taxonomy places the organism in Eukaryota, Metazoa, Chordata, Amphibia, Anura, Pelobatidae.